RNAcentral lists this ribosomal RNA (253 nucleotides) under uncultured bacterium. Its description in RNAcentral is "partial 16S ribosomal RNA". It matches the Rfam family "Bacterial small subunit ribosomal RNA", at positions 524 to 776 of the family's 1533-position model. The record is from RNAcentral.
UACGUAGGGUGCAAGCGUUGUCCGGAAUUACUGGGCGUAAAGGGCUCGUAGGCGGCCAACUAAGUCGGAUGUGAAAUCCCCAGGCUUAACCUGGGAACUGCAUCCGAUACUGGAUGGCUUGAAUUCGGGAGAGGGAUGCAGAAUUCCAGGUGUAGCGGUGAAAUGCGUAGAUAUCUGGAGGAAUACCGGUGGCGAAGGCGGCAUCCUGGACCGAGAUUGACGCUGAUGAGCGAAAGCUAGGGGAGCAAACGGG